AGAAAGAGGGCUUGGUACCCCGACGACGACAAGCGCUCUAUAUACACCAUGUUGCUGGUCAGAAAUGGUCGCACGGGUCGUCUGAAAAAUGGCGUGACUAAAGUCGUAUCAGACCUCACCAAAGUGCCACCACGGUGCCUUCGUCGGAUAUGGGAGAAUGGGAAUGGCGGAGGGGUGAAUGCAGUGGUUAACAAGAAGGCUAAGAAUUGUGGCAGGAAAAGGGUACUGGUGGAUACAGAUGCUAUGCGAGACAUACCAUUAGAACAAAGGACUACAAUUGUCGACCUUGCCAUUGCAUUGAACAUGAAGAAAAGUACUGUUCACAAACGGUUGUAGGAGAAAAGUAUAAGGCGUCAUCGGAGCAGCAUCAAGCCUAUCCUCACGGAUGAGAACACAAAAGCUCGUGUUGCUUAUUGCUUGUCCAACCUAGAGCCAGCGAGCUGUCCGGAAAAUACGGUGUUCAAGGAUGGGUACAACACUCUGCAUAUUGAUGAAAAGUGGUUCUACCGUAGUCGGUUAAACCAGAAGUUUUACUUGUGUAACGAUGAGCCCGAUCCACAUAGAUGCACUAAGCACAAAAGUCACAUCGACAAAGUAAUGUUUUUGUGUGCUGUUGCCUGGCCUAGGUUUGAUGCAGCAGGUAAUUGCACGUUUGAUGGGAAGCUAGGAGUAUGGGCUUUUGUGGAGGAAGUGGCUAAAAAGAAGAGCAAAAAUAGGGGCCGAGGCACGUUGGAGACAAAGGUCCUUCCUAAAGUUAACAUGCAAGUUAACCGUCAGUAUCUCAUCAACCAUGUCUUGCCUGCGAUCAAGGCGAAAUGGCCAGAGGAGGAUCGUCAUCAAACUAUUUGGAUCCAGCAAGACAAUGCACCCAGUCAUGUUCACGUGGAUGAUGAAGAAGUGAUGAAGGCAGCAUGUGAAGGAGGCUGGCACAUCAGGCUCAAGUGUCAACCACCGAACUCUCCUGAUACAAACAUUUUGGACCUUGGUUUUUUUACUUCUCUUCAGGCUUUGUUCUACAAGGAGAUGCCAAAAAACUUGCUAGAUAUUGUGGCCAAAGUUCUCCUCACAUUUGAGAAGUAUCCUGUUCCGCGGUCAAAUAGGAUUUUCCUUAGUCACCAAGGAUGCAUGAGGGAGACAUUGAAGGUCAAAGGUGCCAUCAACUACAAGGUUCCUCACAUCAAGAAGAAGGCACUAGAGAGGAAAGGUCGUCUUCCUAUUAGGUUGAAGUGUGAUCCAAAUAUCGUGCUUGAGGCAAUAGCAUUUCUCAAUGCUUAG
RNAcentral lists this ribosomal RNA (1275 nucleotides) under Triticum aestivum (bread wheat). Its description in RNAcentral is "partial small subunit ribosomal RNA". Lineage: Eukaryota; Viridiplantae; Streptophyta; Magnoliopsida; Poales; Poaceae. The record is from RNAcentral.